RNAcentral lists this transfer RNA (62 nucleotides) under Physidae sp. P3S_19. RNAcentral describes it as "tRNA-Phe". Lineage: Eukaryota; Metazoa; Mollusca; Gastropoda; Physidae. The record is from RNAcentral.
AAGAAAAUAGUUCAAUUUAGAACGAUGCGUUGAAGGUGCAUAGGUGAUUUAGAUCUUUCUUG